GCUCCUUCCAGCGCCCUCAGCUGUGUUCCAGGCCAGCCCUCAGCCUUGCGGUUUGAGCAGGCAGCCUCUGCUUUCUGGGUUGCGGGAGAUGGGAAGGAGAGCGAGGGAACGGCCGUGAGUGCACCUGCCGUCUCUUGGGGAACAUUCUUAGAAGCUGUCACAUAUAGUACCCACUCAUGUUCUGUUGGCCAGAACGCAGGCAUCAGCGCAAGAAAUACCGAGAAAUGGCCUAUUUAUCCUGGGGCUGUGUAGAAGCUCCAGUGAGAAGGGAGAGGCCAGAGAGGAAGGAGAAGCUCCAGAGAGACUCCCGGAAGAGUUGGGGAUAGUCUGAGACAUGACGUCUUUGGGAAUGCUCUGGGACUCUGCUGUGAUGCCUUUCAGAUCCCCUAUCCUCAAAGGCAGUGCUCUCGAAACCGCACAUCUGCUCACCAAGUGAUUUCAGGCAAGUAUAAAUGGUUCCACCUCAUGAAAACUUUAGAAUUUGUACGUGGUCCAUCUGAAUGAAAAUCACUGGGAACAGUUACCCUUUGAUCACUUCCUGGCAUUGCCCAAUAACCUGUGCUGACCGUGAUGACACUGGGGCGAAGGAAUGCAGCAUGAUUUACUCUCCAAGCAGCAGGAGUAGAGUGUGUGCAUAUCGAAAAGUGAAACCACAUCUGAAUUGGGUUUGCAC
Ochotona princeps (American pika) is the source of this 673-nucleotide long non-coding RNA. RefSeq lists it as uncharacterized. The transcript is spliced from 3 exons. The record is from RefSeq and is a predicted model, not a curated record. Lineage: Eukaryota; Metazoa; Chordata; Mammalia; Lagomorpha; Ochotonidae.